GACGAACGCUGGCGGCGUGCUUAACACAUGCAAGUCGAACGAGAUCCCGACCGAGCGAAUCUUCGGAAGAGCGAGGGAGGGUGAAAGUGGCGAACGGGCGAGUAACGCGUGGGCAAUCUGCCCUUCACAGGGGGAUAACACCGGGAAACCGGUGCUAAUACCGCAUAAACCGGCAGCACCGCAUGGUGCAACCGGCAAAGGAGUAAAAUCCGGUGAAGGAUGGGCCCGCGUCCAAUUAGCUAGUUGGUGAGGUAACGGCUCACCAAGGCGACGAUGGGUAGCCGGCCUGAGAGGGUGACCGGCCACACUGGGACUGAGACACGGCCCAGACUCCUACGGGAGGCAGCAGUCGGGAAUUUUCGGCAAUGGGGGGAACCCUGACCGAGCAACGCCGCGUGAGGGAAGAAGGUCUUCGGAUCGUAAACCUUUGUCAUCAGGGACGAUCAUGACGGUACCUGAGGAGGAAGCCACGGCUAACUACGUGCCAGCAGCCGCGUAAACAUACUCGUA
RNAcentral lists this ribosomal RNA (510 nucleotides) under uncultured bacterium. RNAcentral describes it as "bacterial SSU rRNA". It matches the Rfam family "Bacterial small subunit ribosomal RNA", at positions 28 to 529 of the family's 1533-position model. The record is from RNAcentral.